This 386-nucleotide ribosomal RNA is filed under the name uncultured bacterium. RNAcentral's name for it is "bacterial SSU rRNA". It matches the Rfam family "Bacterial small subunit ribosomal RNA", at positions 29 to 414 of the family's 1533-position model. The record is from RNAcentral.
AUUGAACGCUGGCGGCAUGCCUUACACAUGCAAGUCGAACGGCAGCGCGGGAGCAAUCCUGGCGGCGAGUGGCGAACGGGUGAGUAAUAUAUCGGAACGUGCCCAGUAGUGGGGGAUAGCCCGGCGAAAGCCGGAUUAAUACCGCAUGAGACCCUGAGGGUGAAAGCGGGGGAUCGGCAAGACCUCGCGCUAUUGGAGCGGCCGAUAUCAGAUUAGCUAGUUGGUGGGGUAAAGGCCUACCAAGGCAACGAUCUGUAGUUGGUCUGAGAGGACGACCAGCCACACUGGGACUGAGACACGGCCCAGACUCCUACGGGAGGCAGCAGUGGGGAAUUUUGGACAAUGGGCGCAAGCCUGAUCCAGCAAUGCCGCGUGCAGGAAGAAGG